GGAUGCGAUCAUACCAGCACUAAAGCACCGGAUCCCAUCAGAACUCCGAAGUUAAGCGUGCUUGGGCGAGAGUAGUACUAGGAUGGUUGACCUCCUGGGAAGUCCUCCUGUUGCAUUCC
This 119-nucleotide ribosomal RNA is filed under the name Triticum aestivum (bread wheat). Lineage: Eukaryota; Viridiplantae; Streptophyta; Magnoliopsida; Poales; Poaceae. RNAcentral also lists the same sequence under 1 other name. The record is from RNAcentral.